AGUUUGAUCCUGGCUCAGGAUGAACGCUAGCGGCAGGCUUAACACAUGCAAGUCGAGGGGUAUAAGUCUUCGGAUUUAGAGACCGGCGCACGGGUGCGUAACGCGUAUGCAAUCUACCUUUUACAGAGGGAUAGCCCAGAGAAAUUUGGAUUAAUACCUCAUAGUAUUGUGAAAUGGCAUCAUUUUAUAAUUAAAGUUACAACGGUAAAAGAUGAGCAUGCGUCCCAUUAGUUAGUUGGUAAGGUAACGGCUUACCAAGACGAUGAUGGGUAGGGGUCCUGAGAGGGAGAUCCCCCACACUGGUACUGAGACACGGACCAGACUCCUACGGGAGGCAGCAGUGAGGAAUAUUGGACAAUGGGCGCAAGCCUGAUCCAGCCAUGCCGCGUGCAGGAAGACGGUCCUAUGGAUUGUAAACUGCUUUUGUACAGGAAGAAACAYUCCGACGUGUCGGA
Molecule: ribosomal RNA, 455 nt
Filed under: Flavobacterium sp. R-43115
Lineage: Bacteria; Pseudomonadati; Bacteroidota; Flavobacteriia; Flavobacteriales; Flavobacteriaceae
Description: bacterial SSU rRNA
Rfam family: Bacterial small subunit ribosomal RNA
Source: RNAcentral